AGAAUCAACGCUGGCGGCGUGCCUAACACAUGCAAGUCGAACGCGAAAGGGGAGCAAUCCCUGAUUAGAGUGGCAAACGGGUGAGUAACACGUGGGCGACCUGCCUUCGAGUGGGGGAUAACCUUCCGAAAGGAGGGCUAAUACCGCAUGAUAUGCCGUGUUUGGAUACAUGGACAUCAAAGCCGGGGAUCGUAAGACCUGGCGCUUGAAGAGGGGCCCGCGUCCGAUUAGCUAGUUGGUGAGGUAACGGCUCACCAAGGCUCCGAUCGGUA
RNAcentral lists this ribosomal RNA (272 nucleotides) under uncultured soil bacterium. RNAcentral describes it as "partial 16S ribosomal RNA". It matches the Rfam family "Bacterial small subunit ribosomal RNA", at positions 26 to 285 of the family's 1533-position model. The record is from RNAcentral.